Molecule: transfer RNA, 84 nt
Filed under: Rattus norvegicus (Norway rat)
Lineage: Eukaryota; Metazoa; Chordata; Mammalia; Rodentia; Muridae
Rfam family: tRNA
About the family: Transfer RNA (tRNA) molecules are approximately 80 nucleotides in length. Their secondary structure includes four short double-helical elements and three loops (D, anti-codon, and T loops). Further hydrogen bonds mediate the characteristic L-shaped molecular structure. tRNAs have two regions of fundamental functional importance: the anti-codon, which is responsible for specific mRNA codon recognition, and the 3' end, to which the tRNAs corresponding amino acid is attached (by aminoacyl-tRNA synthetases). tRNAs cope with the degeneracy of the genetic code in two manners: having more than one tRNA (with a specific anti-codon) for a particular amino acid; and 'wobble' base-pairing, i.e. permitting non-standard base-pairing at the 3rd anti-codon position.
Source: Rfam by way of RNAcentral
CCUUCGAUAGCUCAGUUGGUAGAGCGGAGGACUGUAGGGGCCCUAGUGAUCCUUAGGUCGCUGGUUCGAAUCCGGCUCGAAGGA